GCUUCGGCGGGUGCCCCGGGUCUCCCGGGGCGUUCAGCCCGCCGGCAGCCUUCAAAUUCUGUUUCUUUGCGUUGGCAUCUCGAGUAUACAAAAAUAAGUUAAAACUUUCAACAACGGAUCUCUUGGUUCUGGCAUCGAUGAAGAACGCAGCGAAAUGCGAUAAGUAAUGCGAAUUGCAGAAUUCCGUGAGUCAUCGAAUCUUUGAACGCACAUUGCGCCCGCCAGCAUUCUGGCGGGCAUGCCUGUUCGAGCGUCAUUUCAACCCUCAGGCCCUGCCUGGCGUUGGAGGACUGCACUGCAGCCUCCCAAAGCGAGCGGCGGCGGCGCCCCACAACCGAACGCAGUAGUUAUACCUCGUUCUGGGCGUGGGACGUUGUCCUGCCGGAAAACACCCCCUUUUUAAUUG
This 406-nucleotide unclassified non-coding RNA is filed under the name Ascomycota cf. Chaetosphaeriaceae OTU_040. Its description in RNAcentral is "sequence contains ITS1, 5.8S rRNA gene and ITS2". The stretch from base 103 to 256 matches the Rfam family "5.8S ribosomal RNA". Lineage: Eukaryota; Fungi; Ascomycota. The record is from RNAcentral.